AGUCUGGAAACCUCUCUGGUCUGUGCUUGACUCCAGGCCAUGGCACUGGCAGAGUUGAUGGAGCUUCUCAGCUGGAUCCUGGUUAUGAGCCUUGGGCUGUCCCAGAGGUGACUGAGGAAGAAGGAGAUCACAACAUGCCAUGGAAGCUCCUCCCCCGUGUUUGACUCCCUGUUUGGUUCCUGCAGUCCAUGGUGAUCAAGCCUCUUGGUGUAAUCCUGUUCCUGAGCCUGGGGGCAAUCCCAGGGGUGGAGGAUGGGCAAGCGGCUGGGGCUACAGAAGAGAAAGGGAGGACAGAAACACAGAGACAGAGUUGCCUGAACUCCACAACUUGCCUGGCAGUGCAGAGAGCGGGAACUGUG
Long non-coding RNA from Columba livia (rock pigeon), 359 nucleotides. RefSeq lists it as uncharacterized. The record is from RefSeq and is a predicted model, not a curated record. The transcript has 3 exons. NCBI's taxonomy places the organism in Eukaryota, Metazoa, Chordata, Aves, Columbiformes, Columbidae.